RNAcentral lists this ribosomal RNA (483 nucleotides) under uncultured bacterium. RNAcentral's name for it is "partial 16S ribosomal RNA". It matches the Rfam family "Bacterial small subunit ribosomal RNA", at positions 28 to 507 of the family's 1533-position model. The record is from RNAcentral.
GACGAACGCUGGCGGCGUGCUUAACACAUGCAAGUCGAACGCUGAAGCCCAGCUUUCGUUGGGUGGUUGAGUGGCGAACGGGUGAGUAACACGUGAAUAACCUGCCCUCUUCUUUGGUAUAACGCCCGGAAACGGGUGCUAAUACUGGAUAUUCACUGACCUUCGCAUGGGGGUUGGUGGAAAGGUUUGUUCUGGGGGGGGAUGGGCUCGCGGCCUAUCUGCUUGUUGGUGGGGUGGUGGCCUACCAAGGCUUUGACGGGUAGCCGGCCUGAGAGGGUGACCGGUAAGAUUACGGGUGAGAUUCGGCCCAGAAUCCGACGGGAAGCAGCAGGGGGGACAGUUGUGCAAUGGGUGAAAGCAUGGUGCCGCGACGCAGCGAGAGGGAUGGAGGCCUUCGGGUUGUACACCUGUUUCGAUCAUGGUUACGCCGGGACAGGGGUUGUAGUGACGGUAGUGGGUAAAGAAGCGCCGGCUAACUACGUG